Molecule: long non-coding RNA, 3040 nt
Filed under: Brassica napus (rape)
Lineage: Eukaryota; Viridiplantae; Streptophyta; Magnoliopsida; Brassicales; Brassicaceae
Description: long non-coding RNA (BNAP_LNC026322)
Source: RNAcentral
CGUGUGUGCCGAGCAAGUUGUUGGCUUGUAUGUUCGUCAGGCUGCGAUGACGUUCAUUUGUGAGGUCGGGCUCGGGCUCAUCGGUGUUGAUGGAGCAUAAAGAAGCACAAUGUUUGAUGAGUGCAUCAUUCACAAGAACGAGACGCCGUCGACCCUGUGAAACAAAUGACGAGGUGAUGAGGGGAUGAGGUGGUUGGCUCAUCAUCUCCGCUCUCGCCGGAAUCAAACUGAAUGUAUCAAGACUGAAUCAUGGUCGCCGAGAUCGAGUCACCAAAGAGAUAAUCUUCACAAAUAAAAUUUAAACCCCAUUAAUAAUUAGACCUUGCAACUCACAAAAAAAAAAUGUAAGAGUUGAUAUGCUUUAUGACUUGAUACUCGGGCUAGCAUAUUAAUUUUUCCUUGCUGCUAGCAUAUUAAUUUUUCCUAGCAAGGGACAAGGGUUUACGUAUGACUACCAUAAUCCAUUAACUUUCCCAAUAAUUUUAAUAAAGCAAUUAGCUGCCAAACUAUCAAUAGACGUGCAUUUUGACGUUUUAAAGAAGGUGGUCUAAUGAUAAUAAUUAGUUAAUAUUGGGAAAACUUAUCUCAAUGUAUCGCUCUUGUCUGAGCUGAGAUGGUGGUGAGCUCUGCCUCAAUGGAUCGUUCUUGUCUGAGCUGAGAUGGUGGUAAGCUCUGUGUUCCACAGAACAAGUCGGCAAAGAGAAGCAAGAGCUUUUAAUGGAGGUGUGAUGACUGAUGUCAUUUCGUCAGAUUCUUUGCUGUUCGAGAAGCCAAGCUUAACGACGGGUUGGAAUGCGUUUUGCGCGGUGAACAAUCUUGUGAAGCCGAGUGGAAACAUAACAUGGCAGUAUUAAGCUGGAGCACGCCUUGUAAGGUGUUGCAGUCUUCACUCUCGCAAAGCGAGUCAUGGCGAGAAGAAGCUGUUGACUUUGGAGCUCAAUUUAGUAAGAAUAAAGCUUUGAAAAACAGAGCUCAAGUCGUCAAUAAGCUGUCCUUGAUGGGGCUUGAAGGAUCAAGUCUUUGCCGUGUCUCGUGUCUGAACAACAGCUUGGAGACCAAAGGUAUGAGCGAAGCAGUUGCUCAUCUGACCAGACAAGAACUCGAUCCAACAACGCAGUGAAGAACAUGUGUUUCUCAAGGCAGAUCAAGUGGUUGCUCAUCCGAUCAGAAGUUGAUGAGGAGGAAGAUGAUUCAGUGGAAGCCGAGCCAGAUAAGUUUCUGUUUGCUAUUUGCUUGUCUGGAGCUGGAGCUGCGUAUGAAUUACGUCGCUGCGAACGGAGAGGUAGUGAAAGCUGAGGAGAUCGCGGGAGCCGUAAGAUCUCUGACGGACGGUGAGGAUACGCCGGGGAAGAGAAUGAAGGAGAUGGCGGAAGCUGCGAGGAUGGCUCGUCUUCACGGCGGCGACGUUUGAGAUCGUGUGUCUGAUGUCGUUCUCUGGGAUUACGAACAUGAACUGCCAUUGUUGCUUCAUGUUAUUAUCAGCCCACCAAGUGCUCGAUGAAAGUCCCACCCGAAGAAAGCAAAGCUUUCAUGAGAAAGCUUCAUCCUUUAGCUUCACCUAGUGCUCGAUGAACUGCUUCUGCCGGGAUCGGAUCUUCUGAGGAUGAUAUGCCCAAACUGUCGAGAUCAACCCAAGAACGCCGAUAUCAAGUUCUGUCGAGGACUGUCGCGUUAUCAAAGCCGAGAACGUGAGUCUCGAACAGCUUCUCCUAUCUUGUGAUGAACAAACCGGAACGUGAGUCUCGAACAGCUUCUCCUAUCUUGUGAUGAACAAACCGGAACUGACGAGUAUCCACGGUAAGAAACAAGACGACAUCGUUGGUUCAUUCUCUCUCUUUUUCUUUUUUUUUUUUUUUUUUUUUUAUCCUAGAUCUAGGGUUUCCCAAGUUUGAUAUGCUAUCAAGAUUGUUCUCUUUGGCACCCUCCUUCUGGCGCCAACUGUUUGAACCGAAAAUGGUGUGUUUGUCGGAUUCAUACAAUGAAGAAUUUAAGAAAUAGAUUUCUUAGAUUCUUGAGGCUAAAGAGAAAUCAACAUAGAAAUCAAAUGGAAAAAGAACAUCAAAAAGAAUUUAUUGAUUAAAAAUUAUAUUACAUGUAUGAUUACAAGUGUAAAUAAAUCUAAGAAUCAAUAAACUCUUUGUAUGAAGUGUUUAAUAUGUCAAAUGGGAGGAGAGAGAUCUUUUCUCAUAAGGAAGUAACUCCUUAUUUAUAGAAAGAUGAAGCCUAGGGCUUCCCUAGGGCUUCCUAGUAAUAUGAGUCUAGUUCAAUGUCUAAUGGGCCUUGAGGAGGAUGUAAAUCAAUCCCCAACAGUAAGUCCCCCCAAGUUCGUUGAGAGAGAUGGAAUCGAUCUCUGCGAAGUUUACGAAUAGGGUUUAUUAGACAAUGAACUAGACACAUUCAUGCCUAUGACGGUUUAGGCGAGUUUAUUUCGAACUUGUGCCUAGUAAAAAGCGAGUUUGCUUUAAACUCGUGCUUAGCGAAAGACGAGUUUACUUGACUCAUGCUAAGACAGAGGCGAGUUUACUGAGAACUCGUGCCUAGUAGAAGGAGAGCUUCUGUAAACUCAUGCCUAGCCAAAGUUGAGUUUUUGUAAACUCGUGUCUAACAAUAAGCGAGUCGACCGCAAACUCGUGCCUAAUAAAAAGCAAGUUCAAUUUAAACUCGUGCCUAAAAUACAAGUUUACCGAACUAUUGCCGACCCGAAGUCUCGUGUUGAGAUCGUGUGUGCCGAGCAAGUUGUUGGCUUGUAUGUUCGUCAGGCUGCGAUGACGUUCAUUUGUGAGGUCGGGCUCGGGCUCAUCGGUGUUGAUGGAGCAUAAAGAAGCACAAUGUUUGAUGAGUGCAUCAUUCACAAGAACGAGACGCCGUCGACCCUGUGAAACAAAUGACGAGGUGAUGAGGGGAUGAGGUGGUUGGCUCAUCAUCUCCGCUCUCGCCGGAAUCAAACUGAAUGUAUCAAGACUGAAUCAUGGUCGCCGAGAUCGAGUCACCAAAGAGAUAAUCUUCACAAAUAAAAUUUAAACCCCAUUAAUAAUUAGAC